AACGAACGCUGGCGGCAGGCUUAACACAUGCAAGUCGAACGCCCCGCAAGGGGAGUGGCAGACGGGUGAGUAACGCGUGGGAACGUACCUUUCAGUUCGGAAUAACUCAGGGAAACUUGUGCUAAUACCGGAUACGCCCGCAAGGGGGAAAGAUUUUAUCGCUGAAAGAUCGGCCCGCGUUGGAUUAGCUAGUUGGUGGGUAAAGGCCUACCAAGGCCACGAUCGGUAGCUGGUCUGAGAGGAUGAUCAGCCACACUGGGACUGAGACACGGCCCAGACUCCUACGGGAGGCAGCAGUGGGGAAUAGUUGGACAAUGGGCGCAAGCCUGAUCCAGCAAUGCCGCGUGUGUGAAGAAGGCCUGCGGGUUGUAAAGCACUUUCAGUGGGGAAGAACGGGGUCCGGGCCAAUACCCCGGAUCACUGACGUUACCCACAGAAGAAGCACCGGCUAACUCCGUG
Molecule: ribosomal RNA, 459 nt
Filed under: uncultured bacterium
Lineage: Bacteria
Description: bacterial SSU rRNA
Rfam family: Bacterial small subunit ribosomal RNA
Source: RNAcentral